CCCAUGGGGUGCAGCAGGUCCACUCGUUCUUCAUACUCAACGGCAUGAUCCCUGUGAGCGGGGGAUUCUUCGGUGCCAACCUCGGCGCGACAUUCUGGUCUCAUGAUACCCUGGAGGGGGCGGUGCAGGAUGACGAGGGGCUGCGCACACUGAGAAAGACGGUCCGCCGCUUCGCUGAGACAGUUGAGUGGCUCGGCAAUAUGGGGAGGCCAGAGGAGCCGGCGCUGGAAAAAUAAGAUGGGAAAGAUGGUUAUCGUAAGAGGUGAGAGGUGGCAGUCAUGGCAAAGGCUAAAGCGAAGCGCAGGAUAGCCUGGGGGAUCACCGGCAGCGGAGACCGCAUCACUGAGACCGUCCGCACAAUGAUCGAUCUGCAGAAGCAGUACGACGAUGUGGCGGACGUACGCGUCUUCGUCUCGAAGGCGGGAGAGC
This 429-nucleotide ribosomal RNA is filed under the name uncultured prokaryote. RNAcentral's name for it is "partial 16S ribosomal RNA". The record is from RNAcentral.